UACGUAGGGGGCAAGCGUUGUCCGGAAUCAUUGGGCGUAAAGAGCGUGUAGGCGGUCCGGUCAGUCGGUUGUGAAAGUCAAGGGCUCAACCCUUGAAUGCCGGCCGAUACUGCCGGGCUAGAGUCCGGAAGAGGUGAGUGGAAUUCCUGGUGUAGCGGUGAAAUGCGCAGAUAUCAGGAGGAACACCAAUGGCGAAGGCAGCUCACUGGGACGGUACUGACGCCGAGACGCGAAAGCGUGGGGAGCAAACAGG
Molecule: ribosomal RNA, 253 nt
Filed under: uncultured bacterium
Lineage: Bacteria
Description: partial 16S ribosomal RNA
Rfam family: Bacterial small subunit ribosomal RNA
Source: RNAcentral